CCGCAAAAGAAAACGUUUGGGCCUGUCUCGUUUCUCCCUUGCCCAUGACUCCGUGAGGCGACAGGAGGGUUCGAGAGAGGCGAGCAGUGCUCAACAGAUCCACCAUGGCGGCGCCCCGACAUGUCCACCACAUCGGCGCAAGUUGGAUAAAAAAUUGGAAGCCUCCAGGCCGAUCUGAGGUGUGUUGAGACUGCUGCAGAUCUAGAAGAACCAAUUGAAACCUCUCUAGAAAUGGUACGAAAGAGACAACGAACAGGUGAUGCUAUUAUGUGCAUGAUUGGAGAAAUGAGGACUACUUUUAAGGAUGCUUUGAAGACAACUGAUCCACUUCCAUUGCCAAAGGUCACUACUCCUUCUAAAACACUUGCUGCACUUGAGUUGAUACCAGAGUUGGCAGAAGCAGACAUGUUGCGCUCUCCGGAAAGUUGAUUCUUAAUGAGCGCUUGUUUGAAGCUCUAAUGGAGAUGCCCAUGCACAUGAGGAAGGCUUGGCUGCUAUUAAUGCCUUGAAGUUAUGCAAGUUAUGCUUUCAUGUUUGUCUUGUUAAAGUUGGACCUAUCUAUAGUAUUUUGUUUGUUGCAUUUGGAACUAUGUAAUGUUGAACUUCAACUUAUUUGAACAAUUGUGUUGUUACAUUUGGAACCAUGUGUCGUUGAGUAUUUCAGAUACCUAUUUAAACUAUAUAUGUGUUGUA
Long non-coding RNA from Hordeum vulgare subsp. vulgare (domesticated barley), 693 nucleotides. RefSeq lists it as uncharacterized. The transcript is spliced from 3 exons. Lineage: Eukaryota; Viridiplantae; Streptophyta; Magnoliopsida; Poales; Poaceae. The record is from RefSeq and is a predicted model, not a curated record.